Mus musculus (house mouse) is the source of this 753-nucleotide long non-coding RNA. RefSeq annotates it as predicted gene, 39138. Lineage: Eukaryota; Metazoa; Chordata; Mammalia; Rodentia; Muridae. The record is from RefSeq and is a predicted model, not a curated record. The transcript is spliced from 2 exons.
UUUUAGCCUAAGGGAUACAUCUGCCUUACUGUUAUGAAACUUGGGGUAAAUAUUGAUAUUGUAUUCAGAGGCACUCAAAGUGCCAUGUCUCUCCUUCUCCUAAUUCUAUUUUUGAGGUGACUCAAAUUUGUGUGUAGAAGAUGGGCCGUUGAUAUUAGUCAACUGGAAAGGAAGAAAGAAAUUCUUGUUAAGACAUCACAAUGAACAACAUUUGUACCUCCCUUUGUCCUUCUAACCAGCUGCCCUGGCCUGACCAAUGGAAGGUUGGAGUGCUAUGGUCUUACAAAAUUGGCAUACAGUCUCCAGAUGGACUCUGAAUUCUUGGUGGAUAUUUCGGAGGUGCAGAAGUGAUGCUCUAAGAUGCAUUCCGUUGAUGUGAAUGUCACACCAACCCCAGUAGAAUCUGUAUGACAAGAUCUACAGACUGAGGAGAAAACUUCAAAAGAAGGAGGCCUCCUGGAACCGGUUGUGGAACUCUUGCCUGGAACAAAUAUUGAGCUGUAGUUCUCAUGGCAAUUUAUCUGUUUUGUUUUCUUUUAUUCCUUUUCUUAUUUACAACAUGUUCCUCAUAGCCUAGGUCAAGAUUUUAAGCAAGAAUAGUGGGUAAGAAACCAUCCCUUGAGAUGGGGUCACUAACAUGACCUUAUCUCUGGGGAAACCAAUGCUUUACUUCAUAAAUCAUUUAUAAAUUUAUACAACAGUAUUAUGAUAGAGAAAAACUUUUCCAACAAUAAAAUUUCAUAUGGCUACACA